GCGAGUGNNGCGGCAACAGCUCAAAUUUGAAAUCUGGCUCUCUUUGGGGGUCCGAGUUGUAAUUUGCAGAGGAUGCUUUGGCAUUGGCGGCGGUCUAAGUUCCUUGGAACAGGACAUCACAGAGGGUGAGAAUCCCGUACGUGGUCGCCUGCCUUUGCCGUGUAAAGCUCCUUCGACGAGUCGAGUUGUUUGGGAAUGCAGCUCUAAAUGGGAGGUAAAUUUCUUCUAAAGCUAAAUACUGGCCAGAGACCGAUAGCGCACAAGUAGAGUGAUCGAAAGAUGAAAAGUACUUUGGAAAGAGAGUCAAAAAGCACGUGAAAUUGUUGAAAGGGAAGCGCUUGCAGCCAGACUUGCCCGCAGUUGCUCACCUAGGCUUUGGCCUGGGGCACUCUUCUGCGGGCAGGCCAGCAUCAGUUUGGGCGGUUGGAUAAAGGCCUCUGUCACGUAUCUCCCUUCGGGGUGACCUUAUAGGGGAGGCGCAAUGCAACCAGCCCGGACUGAGGUCCGCGCAUCUGCUAGGAUGCUGGCGUAAUGGCUGUAAGCGGCCCGUCUU
This 553-nucleotide ribosomal RNA is filed under the name Curreya sp. Its description in RNAcentral is "partial 28S ribosomal RNA". It matches the Rfam family "Eukaryotic large subunit ribosomal RNA", at positions 89 to 655 of the family's 3401-position model. Lineage: Eukaryota; Fungi; Ascomycota; Dothideomycetes; Pleosporales; Cucurbitariaceae. The record is from RNAcentral.